This 544-nucleotide ribosomal RNA is filed under the name uncultured bacterium. RNAcentral describes it as "bacterial SSU rRNA". It matches the Rfam family "Bacterial small subunit ribosomal RNA", at positions 358 to 916 of the family's 1533-position model. The record is from RNAcentral.
GGAAUCUUGCGCAAUGGGCGAAAGCCUGACGCAGCAACGCCGCGUGCGGGAUGAAGGCCUUCGGGUUGUAAACCGCUUUUACCAGGAAGGAAAAUGACAGUACCUGGAGAAUAAGGUGCGGCCAACUACGUGCCAGCAGCCGCGGUGACACGUAAGCACCAAGCGUUGUCCGGAUUUAUUGGGCGUAAAGAGCUCGUAGGCGGUUCAGUAAGUCGGGUGUGAAAACUCUGGGCUCAACUCAGAGACGCCACCCGAUACUGCUGUGACUUGAGUCCGGUAGGGGAGUGGGGAAUUCCUGGUGUAGCGGUGAAAUGCGCAGAUAUCAGGAGGAACACCAAUGGCGAAGGCACCACUCUGGGCCGAGACUGACGCUGAGGAGCGAAAGCGUGGGUAGCAAACAGGAUUAGAUACCCUGGUAGUCCACGCCGUAAACGGUGGGCACUAGGUGUGGGUUCCAACCAACGGAAUCCGCGCCGGCGCUAACGCAUUAAGUGCCCCGCCUGGGGAGUACGGCCGCAAGGUUAAAACUCAAAUGAAUUGACGG